AAAAUUUAAAAUUAUAAUACUAAAAUAGUAAGUAAUUAUUUAUUUAAACUUAAAUAAUUUGGCGGUAUUUUAGUUCAUUUAGAGGAAUCUGUUUAAUAAUUGAUAUUCCACGAUUAAAUUUACUUAAUUUAUAAAUUUUGUAUAUCGUUGUUAUAAAAAUAUUUUUUAAUAAAAUUAAUAUUUAAAAAUUAAUAUAAAAAUUUAAAUCAAAUCAAGAUGCAGAUUAUAAUUAAGAAUAUAAUGGAUUACAAUAAAAUUAUUUAAAUGAAUAUUAAUUUGUAAAAAUUAAUUGAAAUUGGAUUUAAAUGUAAUUUUAUUUAAUAUAAUAAAAUGAUUAAAAAUUAAAAUAUGU
RNAcentral lists this ribosomal RNA (352 nucleotides) under Acrapex sp. ACASG4029. RNAcentral's name for it is "partial 12S small subunit ribosomal RNA". The record is from RNAcentral. Lineage: Eukaryota; Metazoa; Arthropoda; Insecta; Lepidoptera; Noctuidae.